Long non-coding RNA from Salvia splendens (bonfire salvia), 312 nucleotides. RefSeq lists it as uncharacterized. Lineage: Eukaryota; Viridiplantae; Streptophyta; Magnoliopsida; Lamiales; Lamiaceae. The transcript has 3 exons. The record is from RefSeq and is a predicted model, not a curated record.
AGGAAAUAGAAGGCCUUUGGUAAUGCCCUUUUCUCCUCAACUCUUUUGUUUAUUCGUAACCAAGAGCUCAGGGAAAGCUUUUAAUCAUGGCAGAAACCGAGAGCUUCCAAUCGAAUUAUAGAAACAAAAGCCAAGGAAAGCACUACAGUUUUGCAACACAAUUUCCAAUCGGUUGAAGGUUGAGCGAUGAUGCGCCAUGGUGAGUGUUGAGUGGAGCCUCUGAAAUCUACUCAUUAUCUUGUACCGAAUAAGUCGUGUCUUCACACAUGAUGUCAUUCGUUUCUCUUGGAUGCUUCCGCCAAAGACUAUUUA